UCCCCUGUAGCUCAAUGGCAGAGCGCCCGGCUGUUAACCGGUAGGUUGGAGGUUCGAAUCCUCCCGGGGGAGCCA
RNAcentral lists this transfer RNA (75 nucleotides) under Candidatus Woesebacteria bacterium. Its description in RNAcentral is "tRNA-Asn". It matches the Rfam family "tRNA". Rfam says of the family: Transfer RNA (tRNA) molecules are approximately 80 nucleotides in length. Lineage: Bacteria; Candidatus Woeseibacteriota. The record is from RNAcentral.